This 497-nucleotide ribosomal RNA is filed under the name uncultured bacterium. RNAcentral describes it as "partial 16S ribosomal RNA". It matches the Rfam family "Bacterial small subunit ribosomal RNA", at positions 28 to 507 of the family's 1533-position model. The record is from RNAcentral.
GAUGAACGCUGGCGGCGUGCCUAAUACAUGCAAGUCGAGCGAACAGACGAGGAGCUUGCUCCUCUGACGUUAGCGGCGGACGGGUGAGUAACACGUGGAUAACCUACCUAUAAGACUGGGAUAACUUCGGGAAACCGGAGCUAAUACCGGAUAAUAUAUUGAACCGCAUGGUUCAAUAGUUAAAGACGGUUUUGCUGUCACUUAUAGAUGGAUCCGCGCCGCAUUAGCUAGUUGGUAAGGUAACGGCUUACCAAGGCAACGAUGCGUAGCCGACCUGAGAGGGUGAUCGGCCACACGGGAACUGAGACACGGUCCAGACUCCUACGGGAGGCAGCAGUAGGGAAUCUUCCGCAAUGGGCGAAAGCUUGACGGAGCAACGCCGCGUGAGUGAUGAAGGUCUUCGGAUCGUAAAACUCUGUUAUUAGGGAAGAACAAAUGUGUAAGUAACUAUGCACGUCUUGACGGUACCUAAUCAGAAAGCCACGGCUAACUACGUG